GACGAACGCUGGCGGCGUGCUUAGCACAUGCAAGUCGAACGGAAAGGCCCUGCUUUUGUGGGGUGCUCGAGUGGCGAACGGGUGAGUAACACGUGAGUAACCUGCCCUUGACUUUGGGAUAACUUCAGGAAACUGGGGCUAAUACCGGAUAGGAGCUCCUGCUGCAUGGUGGGGGUUGGAAAGUUUCGGCGGUUGGGGAUGGACUCGCGGCUUAUCAGCUUGUUGGUGGGGUAGUGGCUUACCAAGGCUUUGACGGGUAGCCGGCCUGAGAGGGUGACCGGCCACAUUGGGACUGAGAUACGGCCCAGACUCCUACGGGUGGCAGCAGUGGGGAAUAUUGCACAAUGGGCGGAAGCCUGAUGCAGCAACGCCGCGUGCGGGAUGACGGCCUUCGGGUUGUAAACCGCUUUCGCCUGUGACGAAGCGUGAGUGACGGUAAUGGGUAAAGAAGCACCGGCUAACUACGUG
This 468-nucleotide ribosomal RNA is filed under the name uncultured bacterium. Its description in RNAcentral is "partial 16S ribosomal RNA". It matches the Rfam family "Bacterial small subunit ribosomal RNA", at positions 28 to 507 of the family's 1533-position model. The record is from RNAcentral.